RNAcentral lists this ribosomal RNA (446 nucleotides) under uncultured bacterium. Its description in RNAcentral is "partial 16S ribosomal RNA". It matches the Rfam family "Bacterial small subunit ribosomal RNA", at positions 338 to 795 of the family's 1533-position model. The record is from RNAcentral.
CCUACGGGUGGCAGCAGUCGAGAAUCAUUCACAAUGGGGGAAACCCUGAUGGUGCGACGCCGCGUGGGGGAAUGAAGGUCUUCGGAUUGUAAACCCCUGUCAUGUGGGAGCAAAUUAAAAAGAUAGUACCACAAGAGGAAGAGACGGCUAACUCUGUGCCAGCAGCCGCGGUAAUACAGAGGUCUCAAGCGUUGUUCGGAAUCACUGGGCGUAAAGCGUGCGUAGGCUGUUUCGUAAGUCGUGUGUGAAAGGCGCGGGCUCAACCCUCGGACGGCAGAUGAUACUGCGAGACUAGAGUAAGGGAGGGGGAACCGGAAUUCUCGGUGUAGCAGUGAAAUGCGUAGAUAUCGAGAGGAACCCUCGUGGCGAAGGCGGGUUCCUGGACAUUAACUGACGCUGAGGCACGAAGGCCAGGGGAGCGAAAGGGAUUAGAUACCCGGGUAGUC